GCGUUGUUUGAAAGGAGAAAAGGUUAGCACUCCACUUGACAAGAAUGGAAGCGGUUCUAGUGACCUUCAACACAUAUGCGGUUAAAGUAUUGCCAUCUACUCUCACCGUGUUU
Rhinichthys klamathensis goyatoka is the source of this 113-nucleotide small nuclear RNA. NCBI's taxonomy places the organism in Eukaryota, Metazoa, Chordata, Actinopteri, Cypriniformes, Leuciscidae. The record is from RefSeq and is a predicted model, not a curated record.